This 253-nucleotide ribosomal RNA is filed under the name uncultured bacterium. Its description in RNAcentral is "partial 16S ribosomal RNA". It matches the Rfam family "Bacterial small subunit ribosomal RNA", at positions 524 to 776 of the family's 1533-position model. The record is from RNAcentral.
UACGUAGGGGGCUAGCGUUGUCCGGAAUCAUUGGGCGUAAAGCGCGCGUAGGCGGCCCGGUAAGUCCGCUGUGAAAGUCAAAGGCUCAACCUUUGAAUGUCAGCGGAUACUGCCGGGCUAGAGUCCGGAAGAGGCGAGUGGAACUCCUGGUGUAGCGGUGGAAUGCGCAGAUAUCAGGAGGAACACCAACAGCGAAGGCAGCUCGCUGGGACGGUAUUGACGCUGAGGCGCGAAAGCGUGGGGAGCGAACAGG